GUAUCCUGGCUCAGGAUGAACGCUAGCGGCAGGCUUAACACAUGCAAGUCGAGGGGCAGCAUAAUGGAUAGCAAUAUCUAUGGUGGCGACCGGCGCACGGGUGCGUAACGCGUAUGCAACCUACCUUUAACAGGGGGAUAACACUGAGAAAUUGGUACUAAUACCCCAUAAUAUCAUGAAGGCAUCUUUANGGUUGAAAAUCGAUGGUUAGAGAUGGGCAUGCGUUGUAUUAG
This 233-nucleotide ribosomal RNA is filed under the name uncultured bacterium. Its description in RNAcentral is "partial 16S ribosomal RNA". It matches the Rfam family "Bacterial small subunit ribosomal RNA", at positions 14 to 244 of the family's 1533-position model. The record is from RNAcentral.